CAUCAUAUGACACAGUUGCAGCAGCCAUAAAGGAUCCACUCGUCUUGGCCAAAUUGCAGUUCUACGCAGCAAUUGCCAGGACCUUCAAUCCCUUCCUGAAAAAAUAUCAGACGGAUGAGCCUGUGCUCCCAUUCCUCCCCAAAGGACCUGACCGAGUUGAUGAUGGUAACAAUUUACUUAACGUUAUAACCACUGAUUGGGCUCAAUUGAUCCAUUAUGACAAAAUGGGGUUUGUGGUUAGGAUGUGUAAAAAAUAGUGGCUACAUUGUGCAUCAUCAUAAGAUAAUUUGAUGUUGGUGAUUAAUGUGCCGCACCAGACAUUUUUGUGUUUGUCUGUUGACAGUCUACUCAGACGCUUCAUAAAGAGAGACGUACUACACGAUAUCACUGCCCUGCAGCUGACCAAACUGGAUGUCACAGACAAGACCAUCUGGCUCAGCCCACAAGACAUCAGCAUUGGUCUAGGUGCAGAGUCAGUCCUUAAGGUAGUGUGAUGUUUUCAAAAGAUAAUUUUACAAAUGGUUAGGGUGAACCAGGUGUCAUUGAAGACAUGUUCUAUAUUCAUGGCUAAUUUCUCUCUAGAGAAUCAAAGGUGCAGAGCUCAGGGUGCUCGAGUUCAAGAGAGUGCAUGCAGGGACUGAGUAACAUGAUCAAGAAAGUGCAGGACAAGAGCCCCCUCAAGUAUCUGACUGUUAGGCAGAUGGUGUGCCUGAAUCCGUCAGUAAUGUAUAGAGAACCAGAAAGAGGCAGGAAUCACAUGAAAGGGCUGGUUCAAAGGUUUCUCCAGGACAAACAGCUUACUGAUACUUCUUCGGGGGAUGUCAUACUGCAGCAGUUUGACAGUCUCCUUUCCUUGGAGAGCCGGAGUGAGGACUUCCUCUCCUUUCAAACCAUGCAGACGAGGCUGGACAUCUUCCUGAGCAGCGCCAUGGAGCCUUAUCCCGAGCUGUGGGCCUUCUGCAAGAAGCUGCUCAUCCUCAUCCACGGUCAAGCUACAGUUGAGCGUGGAUUCUCAAUCAAUAAAGAGGUGGAGUCUGAUAACUUGGCGGAGGAUACUGUGGUCACACGGAGACUGGUGUGUGACUACAUCAUACAACAUGGAGGUGUUACCAAGGUUCCACUCAGUAAACCGCUACUGGAAAGUGUAGCAAGGGCAAGGACAAGGUAUCGUACCCAUCUGGAGACCAAAAGAAGGAACAGGGAGGCAAAAGACCAGGCUCUCAAGAGGAGGGAAGCAGAGGACUGUCUUGAGGAGCUGAAGGUUAAGAGGAGACGUGUACAGGAGGUAUCUGAGGGUCUGGCUAGGGAUGCGGACAAGAUGGCUGAGGAGGCUGAAGCGAAGGCAGGGAGCAAGAUGGCUGGCCUGAUCACCAGGUCAAACAUUCUGCGGAGAGGCCAUAAGGAGAAGUUGGCAGAACUGGCUCUCCUUGAUAAAGAGAUCGCUGCUAAGAGUGCAGAGCUUAGGAGUUGACUGUGUGAUCAUAAUUUUAUUUAUUGUUGAGUUGAUUUUCAUUGUUUAUUGUUGAGGAGUCUGUGCUGUUGGCGUAAGUACUCACCACUAUGCUGCAAUGUUCCAUCAUUCCAUAAUGCUUUACAGUCCACAUUUUCACAUUUGUUGAAAUAAAUGAACAAAUUUUGAACAAACGUUGUCGGUAGGUCUGUGAAAUAGGCCGUGAAAUAGGUAUUAAUUUUUAUAUAAGUGGUCUUAAAAGGGACUUAAAAAGACUUGAAUUUGACUUGAACAAACCUGUAGGAACCCUGUAAUAAAAUAACCUCAAACAGCU
Molecule: long non-coding RNA, 1784 nt
Filed under: Gadus morhua (Atlantic cod)
Lineage: Eukaryota; Metazoa; Chordata; Actinopteri; Gadiformes; Gadidae
Description: lncRNA (ENSGMOG00000037123.1)
Source: RNAcentral